Molecule: unclassified non-coding RNA, 310 nt
Filed under: plant metagenome
Description: partial contains 5.8S ribosomal RNA, internal transcribed spacer 2, and large subunit ribosomal RNA
Rfam family: 5.8S ribosomal RNA (bases 1-105)
Source: RNAcentral
GAAAUGCGAUAAGUAGUGUGAAUUGCAGAAUUCAGUGAAUCAUCGUAUCUUUGAACGCACAUUGCGCCCCUUGGUAUUCCAUGGGGCAUGCCUGUUCGAGCGUCAUUUGUACCCUCAAGCUCUGCUUGGUGUUGGGUGUUUGUCCCCGUCUCCGCGCGUGGACUCGCCCCAAAGUGAUUGGCAGCCGGCGUACUGGUCCCGGAGCGCAGCACAUGUCGCGCAAACGAGUGCCUUGGUACGGCGGCGUCCAUAAGCCCCUCUCUCACGCUCUUGACCUCGGAUCAGGUAGGGAUACCCGCUGAACUUAAGC